This 392-nucleotide ribosomal RNA is filed under the name uncultured bacterium. RNAcentral's name for it is "bacterial SSU rRNA". It matches the Rfam family "Bacterial small subunit ribosomal RNA", at positions 29 to 423 of the family's 1533-position model. The record is from RNAcentral.
AUUGAACGCUGGCGGAAUGCUUUACACAUGCAAGUCGAACGGCAGCACGGGGGCAACCCUGGUGGCGAGUGGCGAACGGGUGAGUAACACAUCGGAACGUGCCCAGUCGUGGGGGAUAACGUAGCGAAAGCUACGCUAAUACCGCAUACGAACUCUGGUUGAAAGCGGGGGACUCGCAAGGGCCUCGCGCGAUUGGAGCGGCCGAUGGCAGAUUAGGUAGUUGGUGGGGUAAAGGCCACCAAGCCGACGAUCUGUAGCUGGUCUGAGAGGACGACCAGCCACACUGGGACUGAGACACGGCCCAGACUCCUACGGGAGGCAGCAGUGGGGAAUUUUGGACAAUGGGCGCAAGCCUGACCGAGCAACGCCGCGUGCGGGACGACGCCUCGGUC